Molecule: ribosomal RNA, 497 nt
Filed under: uncultured bacterium
Lineage: Bacteria
Description: partial 16S ribosomal RNA
Rfam family: Bacterial small subunit ribosomal RNA
Source: RNAcentral
GAUGAACGCUGGCGGCGUGCCUAAUACAUGCAAGUCGAGCGAACAGACGAGGAGCUUGCUCCUCUGACGUUAGCGGCGGACGGGUGAGUAACACGUGGAUAACCUACCUAUAAGACUGGGAUAACUUCGGGAAACCGGAGCUAAUACCGGAUAAUAUAUUGAACCGCAUGGUUCAAUGGUGAAAGACGGUUUUGCUGUCACUUAUAGAUGGAUCCGCGCCGCAUUAGCUAGUUGGUAAGGUAACGGCUUACCAAGGCAACGAUGCGUAGCCGACCUGAGAGGGUGAUCGGCCACACUGUAACUGAGACACGGUCCAGACUCCUACGGGAGGCAGCAGUAGGGAAUCUUCCGCAAUGGGCGAAAGCCUGACGGAGCAACGCCGCGUGAGUGAUGAAGGUCUUCGGAUCGUAAAACUCUGUUAUUAGGGAAGAACAAAUGUGUAAGUAACUAUGCACGUCUUGACGGUACCUAAUCAGAAAGCCACGGCUAACUACGUG